Regulatory RNA element from Novosphingobium sp. AP12, 47 nucleotides. It matches the Rfam family "chrB-b RNA". The record is from Rfam. Lineage: Bacteria; Pseudomonadati; Pseudomonadota; Alphaproteobacteria; Sphingomonadales; Sphingomonadaceae.
ACGGGCCGGCGCGGACGCCCGUUCAGACGGUAUUCGUCCAAGUCCGC